UACGUAGGGUGCGAGCGUUAAUCGGAAUUACUGGGCGUAAAGUGUGCGCAGGCGGCCGCGCAAGUCGAGUGUGAAAGCCCCGGGCUUAACUUGGGAAUUGCGCUCGAAACUACGUGGCUGGAGUGUGGCAGAGGAAGGUGGAAUUCCACGUGUAGCAGUGAAAUGCGUAGAGAUGUGGAGGAACACCGAUGGCGAAGGCAGCCCCCUGGGCUGAGACUGACGCUCAGGCACGAAAGCGUGGGGAGCAAACAGG
Molecule: ribosomal RNA, 253 nt
Filed under: uncultured prokaryote
Description: partial 16S ribosomal RNA
Rfam family: Bacterial small subunit ribosomal RNA
Source: RNAcentral